Molecule: small RNA, 152 nt
Filed under: Clostridiales bacterium CHKCI001
Lineage: Bacteria; Bacillati; Bacillota; Clostridia; Eubacteriales
Description: Clostridiales-1 RNA
Rfam family: Clostridiales-1 RNA
Source: Rfam by way of RNAcentral
UAAAACAAGAGUCAAAAGGUAAUGCACUUCAUGCCAGCAUGAAAAAGCAUGAGUUUAGGACUCGCAAAAACAUUAAAAAUAAACCCAAUCGGGUGAUUUUGAAUGUUUUUAGGAUUUCGUGAGCACAAAGUGCAUAGAAAUCCAUAGUAUUA